AACGAACGCUGGCGGCAUGCCUAACACAUGCAAGUCGAACGAAGCCUUCGGGCUUAGUGGCGCACGGGUGCGUAACGCGUGGGAAUCUGCCCUUAGGUACGGAAUAACUCAGGGAAACUUGUGCUAAUACCGUAUGAUGUCGAGAGACCAAAGAUUUAUCGCCUAGGGAUGAGCCCGCGUAGGAUUAGCUAGUUGGUGGGGUAAAGGCCUACCAAGGCGACGAUCCUUAGCUGGUCUGAGAGGAUGAUCAGCCACACUGGGACUGAGACACGGCCCAGACUCCUACGGGAGGCAGCAGUGGGGAAUAUUGGACAAUGGGCGAAAGCCUGAUCCAGCAAUGCCGCGUGAGUGAAGAAGGCCUUCGGGUUGUAAAGGCUCUUUUUACCCCGGGGUAAGGAUAAAUGACUGUACCGGGAGAAUAAGACCCCGGCUAACUCCGUGCCAGCAGCCGC
RNAcentral lists this ribosomal RNA (452 nucleotides) under uncultured bacterium. RNAcentral describes it as "bacterial SSU rRNA". It matches the Rfam family "Bacterial small subunit ribosomal RNA", at positions 29 to 518 of the family's 1533-position model. The record is from RNAcentral.